UACGUAGGGUGCAAGCGUUGUCCGGAAUUAUUGGGCGUAAAGAGCUCGUAGGCGGUCUGUUGCGUCGGCUGUGAAAACCCGGGGCUCAACCCCGGGCCUGCAGCCGAUACGGGCAGACUAGAGUUCGGCAGGGGAGACUGGAAUUCCUGGUGUAGCGGUGAAAUGCACAGAUAUCAGGAGGAACACCGGUGGCGAAGGCGGGUCUCUGGGCCGAUACUGACGCUGAGGAGCGAAAGUGUGGGGAGCGAACAGG
Molecule: ribosomal RNA, 253 nt
Filed under: uncultured bacterium
Lineage: Bacteria
Description: partial 16S ribosomal RNA
Rfam family: Bacterial small subunit ribosomal RNA
Source: RNAcentral